RNAcentral lists this ribosomal RNA (253 nucleotides) under uncultured bacterium. Its description in RNAcentral is "partial 16S ribosomal RNA". It matches the Rfam family "Bacterial small subunit ribosomal RNA", at positions 524 to 776 of the family's 1533-position model. The record is from RNAcentral.
UACGUAGGGUGCAAGCGUUAAUCGGAAUUACUGGGCGUAAAGCGUGCGCAGGCGGCUUUGCAAGUGACGGGUGAAAUCCCUCGGCUUAACCGAGGAACUGCCUGUCAAACUGCAUGGCUUGAGACCGGGAGAGGUGAGUGGAAUUCCCAGUGUAGCGGUGAAAUGCGUAGAUAUUGGGAGGAACACCAGUGGCGAAGGCGGCUCACUGGACCGGUACUGACGCUGAUGCGCGAAAGCGUGGGGAGCAAACAGG